AGAGUUUGAUCAUGGCUCAGGACGAACGCUGGCGGCGUGCCUAACACAUGCAAGUCGAGGGCGAAAACCUCCUUCGGGAGGUGAGUAGACCGGCGGACGGGUGCGUAACACGUGAGCAACCUGCCUGGUAGAGGGGGAUAACUCGGGGAAACCCGGGCUAAUACCCCAUGACGUGGUUUCGCCGCAUGGCGAGAUCACUAAAAGGGGGCGUCUUUUUACGGAGCUCUCGCUUCCAGAUGGGCUCGCGGCCUAUCAGCUUGUUGGUGAGGUAACGGCUCACCAAGGCGAUGACGGGUAGCUGGUCUUAGCGGAUGAUCAGCCACACGGGGACUGAGACACGGCCCCGACUCCUACGGGAGGCAGCAGUGGGGAAUUUUGGACAAUGGGCGAAAGCCUGAUCCAGCGACGCCGCGUGCGGGAGGAAGCCCCUCGGGGUGUAAACCGCUGUCAGGGGGGAAGAAAAGGUCCGGACGAAUAAUCCGGGCUCUUGACGGUACCCCCAGAGGAAGCGCCGGCUAACUCCGUGCCAGCAGCCGCGGUAAUACGGAGGGCGCAAGCGUUGUCCGGAAUUACUGGGCGUAAAGGGGGCGCAGGCGGCUUGUUAAGUCCUGUGUGAAAGCCCGCGGCUCAACCGCGGAAAGCCACAGGAUACUGGCGAGCUUGAGACGGGUAGAGGCGAGUGGAAUUCCCGGUGUAGCGGUGGAAUGCGUAGAUAUCGGGAAGAACACCAGUGACGAAAGCGACUCGCUGGGCCCGUUCUGACGCUCAUGCCCGAAAGCGUGGGGAGCAAACAGGAUUAGAUACCCUGGUAGUCCACGCCGUAAACGAUGGCACUAGUGCUGGGGAGUGUGACCUCUUCGUGCCGUAGCUAACGCGUUGAGUGCCCCGCCUGGGGGAGUACGGCCGCAAAGCUGAAACUCAAAUGAAUUGACGG
This 934-nucleotide ribosomal RNA is filed under the name uncultured bacterium. RNAcentral describes it as "bacterial SSU rRNA". It matches the Rfam family "Bacterial small subunit ribosomal RNA", at positions 8 to 916 of the family's 1533-position model. The record is from RNAcentral.